UACGUAGGGCGCAAGCGUUAUCCGGAAUUAUUGGGCGUAAAGAGCUCGUAGGCGGUUUGUCGCGUCUGCCGUGAAAGUCCGGGGCUCAACUCCGGAUCUGCGGUGGGUACGGGCAGACUAGAGUGAUGUAGGGGAGACUGGAAUUCCUGGUGUAGCGGUGAAAUGCGCAGAUAUCAGGAGGAACACCGAUGGCGAAGGCAGGUCUCUGGGCAUUAACUGACGCUGAGGCACGAAAGCGUGGGUAUCAAACAGG
RNAcentral lists this ribosomal RNA (253 nucleotides) under uncultured bacterium. Its description in RNAcentral is "partial 16S ribosomal RNA". It matches the Rfam family "Bacterial small subunit ribosomal RNA", at positions 524 to 776 of the family's 1533-position model. The record is from RNAcentral.